This is a long non-coding RNA of Myotis myotis, 652 nucleotides long. RefSeq lists it as uncharacterized. NCBI's taxonomy places the organism in Eukaryota, Metazoa, Chordata, Mammalia, Chiroptera, Vespertilionidae. The transcript has 3 exons. The record is from RefSeq and is a predicted model, not a curated record.
GGAACCUGUGGGCUCUCCGUGAGCGAGGCUGGAGCCACAGGCUUUUCCUCUGUGCCUGAUCGUCUUUCCACAAGGAUGAGGCCUUGACUACUAAUCAACUUUCCGGAAAGGUUGGACAUUUUAACUCUGUCACACCCUGACGAUCAGCAGGAACCACAGGGACCCUUCCCCACGGCUUGGGCGACCCUGCGCAUCUCAGGACGCCUCCUACCAGGUGACAGCACCUGUGUGCAGGCAUCCGUCCCAGCAGCGGGACCUGAAUGUUUCCAGCCGCUGUGCUUCCUGUGGGAACGUGUGACCUGCGUCCCGGGAAGCCUGCUGAAGGAGGAGCCUGGCUGCGUUUCCCCUUGUUCCCCGGGGAAGAGCACGCAGUCUGGACAGCCUAUUAAGCAGGAAACGGAUUCACUCUCACCGACAGCACAGCCCAGUCUCACUCACCCCAACCAGCACCACUAACAUGGAAACUUUUAAAGCCUGCGGCCCAAGGAGUGUGGGUGGCUGGAGCUGGGCUGGGCACUCAUGGGGCAGAGAUGCCCACAUGGAACUCACCCCAGGAGACUCUCCGUGGUGCACGUGGUGCCUGGGCUAUCGGACAAGCUACUUUGUACCCUGUGGCUGUGUACAUGAAACUAACACAAAAUAGUGUUGAAUA